Molecule: long non-coding RNA, 979 nt
Organism: Molossus molossus (Pallas's mastiff bat)
Lineage: Eukaryota; Metazoa; Chordata; Mammalia; Chiroptera; Molossidae
Exons: 3
Source: RefSeq, a predicted model, not a curated record
UCUGCUGUGCUGUGCAGACCGGCAGGGCAGAGAUGCCUUCUCGGGGAAGGAAGUCGGGCUUGGUUUGAGCACAAAUUGACUUAUUAGAUCCUUGUCCUUUUCUAGGCUACUGCUUCUGGUGGCCUGGCACACGUGGACUGAGGAGAUGUGACGCAUGAAGUAAGAAAUGCCCUGCAAACAGAUGAACGCUACGGAGCCAGGAGAUACUGCCCAUGCUGUGCAGCGUCAGAGCAGCAGCAGCCGUAGUGGAAGGAGAGUGUCAUUGCUCCUCCUGUUGCAACUUGUGUGGAUCCUGCCUCUGCCUAUGACUAUGCCUCCACGGCCUCUGAAAUGCCACCGUUUGUGAGAGAUGUGGAAACAGGAUCCCUUCCUCUUCCUUCAAGAUAAGCAGCGUUUAGUUACACAACUAUGGGACUUGACAGCCGGCUAGAAGCAUCCAGGCUCCUUAUCACAGCUCCAUCUCCCGGGGUGUCUAUGAAGCACGCAGGCCCCGCCACGUAGAUGUCUACGCACCCAAGUGCCAAGGCUUUGGACCAACUGAGAAACCCUGGGUGACUGCCUCAGCUUUCUUUGCCCGUAAGCGGGGUGAUGACAGUACCUGCCUCGCAGAACUGCUGUGACCCGAUACGUGACCGAUAUGAUUGGCACAGUGCCCGGCACAUGACGAGUGGUAGGUAAACGUUAGCUGUCACUAUUCCCCCAUUUCACAGGGGAGGGAAACUGAGGCUCAGAGGGGUGAACCGACCUUCCCUGGGUCACAGAACCAGUUGGUGGCAGAAGGAAGAUCCAACCUUGUAAGUGAUCUUCCAACUUGGAGCUGGAUGAUCCACAGUGAGGAGGGAUCCCCCUCAUUCACCAUCCCCCCAAACGGCACUACUUCUUGCCAUUUAGACAGGACAAAAAGACAGCCGGUGGGCAGGGUUUAAAAGAUGAUGAGAAGGGAGCCCUGGCCGGUUUGGCUCAGCGGUUGGAGGGUCGG